UCAGGACGAACGCUGGCGGCGUGCCUAACACAUGCAAGUCGAGCGAUGAAGUCCUUCGGGAACGGAUUAGCGGCGGACGGGUGAGUAACACGUGGGUAACCUGCCUCAAAGAGGGGGAUAGCCUCCCGAAAGGGAGAUUAAUACCGCAUAACAUUAUUUUCUCGCAUGAGAAGAUAAUCAAAGGAGUAAUCCGCUUUGAGAUGGACCCGCGGCGCAUUAGCUAGUUGGUGAGGUAACGGCUCACCAAGGCGACGAUGCGUAGCCGACCUGAGAGGGUGAUCGGCCACAUUGGAACUGAGACACGGUCCAGACUCCUACGGGAGGCAGCAGUGGGGAAUAUUGCGCAAUGGGGGAAACCCUGACGCAGCCAACGCCGCGUGAGUGAUGAAGGUCUUCGGAUUGUAAAGCUCUGUCUUUGGGGACGAUAAUGACGGUACCCAAGGAGGAAGCCACGGCUAACUACGUGCCAGCAGCAGC
RNAcentral lists this ribosomal RNA (477 nucleotides) under uncultured bacterium. RNAcentral's name for it is "bacterial SSU rRNA". It matches the Rfam family "Bacterial small subunit ribosomal RNA", at positions 24 to 518 of the family's 1533-position model. The record is from RNAcentral.